UGGGUAACCUACCUCUGACUGGGGGACAACCGGUGGAAACGCCGGCUAAUACCGCAUAAAGUGCGGCGUCAUAAGGCGUCCGUACCAAAGUGGCUUCGGCAGUCGGUUUAGAGAUGGGCCCGCGGCGGAUUAGCUUGUUGGUGGGGUAAAGGCCUACCAAGGCGACGAUCCGUAGCUGGUCUGAGAGGACGAUCAGCCACACUGGAACUGAGACACGGUCCAGACUCCUACGGGAGGCAG
Molecule: ribosomal RNA, 240 nt
Filed under: uncultured bacterium
Lineage: Bacteria
Description: partial 16S ribosomal RNA
Rfam family: Bacterial small subunit ribosomal RNA
Source: RNAcentral